AACGUAGGACGCAAGCGUUAUCCGGAGUUACUGGACGUAAAGCGCGGGCAGGCGGCCAACCAAGUCUGAUGUGAAAUCUCUUCGCUCAACGGAGAGAGGCCAUUGGAAACUGGUCGGCUGGAGGGCAGUAGAGGUAGGCGGAAUUCCGGGUGGAGUGGUGAAAUGCGUAGAGAUCCGGAGGAACACCAGAGGCGAAGGCGGCCUACUGGGCUGCACCUGACGCUGAGCCGCGAAAGCCAGGGGAGCGAACGGG
This 253-nucleotide ribosomal RNA is filed under the name uncultured bacterium. RNAcentral's name for it is "partial 16S ribosomal RNA". It matches the Rfam family "Bacterial small subunit ribosomal RNA", at positions 524 to 776 of the family's 1533-position model. The record is from RNAcentral.